This 121-nucleotide small nucleolar RNA is filed under the name Aegilops tauschii subsp. strangulata. RNAcentral's name for it is "snoRNA SNORD14". It matches the Rfam family "Small nucleolar RNA SNORD14". From Rfam's summary of the family: U14 small nucleolar RNA (U14 snoRNA) is required for early cleavages of eukaryotic precursor rRNAs. In yeasts, this molecule possess a stem-loop region (known as the Y-domain) which is essential for function. The record is from Rfam by way of RNAcentral. Lineage: Eukaryota; Viridiplantae; Streptophyta; Magnoliopsida; Poales; Poaceae.
UGGCGAUGAUGAUAAAACUAAGGCUUGUUUCUCAAAACAUUCGCAGUUGCCGCCUAAGAGCUUUCGCCCUGCCAGGCUUGAGAGCUAAUGCUGCUAAUUCCUUCCUUGGAUGUCUGAGCCA